GGGGAUGUGAGCUUCGACAAUAGUUCCUUUCAAAAUAAGCAAAUCCAGUAUUCUGAAAUCUGGCUAAACUUUCAGAAAAAACAUAAUUGCUAAUUUAUUUAAUAAGCAACCAGCAUUAGCAUACGCUUAGUGCUGCAUCCUUGCCGUCGACUCCUAAUAGGCGGACCAAGGGUGUUAUAUUAUUAGGAUAGAUAAUUUUUCUCCUCGGAAAAUUAUUGAAAUUAAGAGGAUUAGGAUAUUAAAAAUUUUGUCUGUUUCUUAUUUGAUAUCCAAACAACAAAACAGAAUACAUUUGUAGAAUUAUUUUGAAAAAAUUAUUGGACCCGAGUUCAAUCUCGGCAUCUCCACCA
Molecule: transfer-messenger RNA, 350 nt
Filed under: Candidatus Staskawiczbacteria bacterium RIFCSPHIGHO2_02_FULL_42_22
Lineage: Bacteria; Candidatus Staskawicziibacteriota
Also listed under: 1 other name
Rfam family: transfer-messenger RNA
About the family: Bacterial tmRNA, also known as 10Sa RNA or SsrA, is named for its dual tRNA and mRNA-like properties. Its role is to liberate the mRNA from a stalled ribosome.
Source: RNAcentral